GGGUUGUGAGGUUAAGCGACUAAGCGUACACGGUGGAUGCCCUGGCAGUCAGAGGCGAUGAAGGACGUGCUAAUCUGCGAUAAGCGUCGGUAAGGUGAUAUGAACCGUUAUAACCGGCGAUUUCCGAAUGGGGAAACCCAGUGUGAUUCGUCACACUAUCAUUAACUGAAUCCAUAGGUUAAUGAGGCGAACCGGGGGAACUGAAACAUCUAAGUACCCCGAGGAAAAGAAAUCAACCGAGAUUCCCCCAGUAGCGGCGAGCGAACGGGGAGCAGCCCAGAGCCUGAAUCAGUGUGUGUGUUAGUGGAAGCGUCUGGAAAGGCGCGCGAUACAGGGUGACAGCCCCGUACACAAAAAUGCACAUACUGUGAGCUCGAUGAGUAGGGCGGGACACGUGGUAUCCUGUCUGAAUAUGGGGGGACCAUCCUCCAAGGCUAAAUACUCCUGACUGACCGAUAGUGAACCAGUACCGUGAGGGAAAGGCGAAAAGAACCCCGGCGAGGGGAGUGAAAAAGAACCUGAAACCGUGUACGUACAAGCAGUGGGAGCCUCUUAAUGGGGUGACUGCGUACCUUUUGUAUAAUGGGUCAGCGACUUAUAUUCUGUAGCAAGGUUAACCGAAUAGGGGAGCCGAAGGGAAACCGAGUCUUAACUGGGCGUUAAGUUGCAGGGUAUAGACCCGAAACCCGGUGAUCUAGCCAUGGGCAGGUUGAAGGUUGGGUAACACUAACUGGAGGACCGAACCGACUAAUGUUGAAAAAUUAGCGGAUGACUUGUGGCUGGGGGUGAAAGGCCAAUCAAACCGGGAGAUAGCUGGUUCUCCCCGAAAGCUAUUUAGGUAGCGCCUCGUGAAUUCAUCUCCGGGGGUAGAGCACUGUUUCGGCAAGGGGGUCAUCCCGACUUACCAACCCGAUGCAAACUGCGAAUACCGGAGAAUGUUAUCACGGGAGACACACGGCGGGUGCUAACGUCCGUCGUGAAGAGGGAAACAACCCAGACCGCCAGCUAAGGUCCCAAAGUCAUGGUUAAGUGGGAAACGAUGUGGGAAGGCCCAGACAGCCAGGAUGUUGGCUUAGAAGCAGCCAUCAUUUAAAGAAAGCGUAAUAGCUCACUGGUCGAGUCGGCCUGCGCGGAAGAUGUAACGGGGCUAAACCAUGCACCGAAGCUGCGGCAGCGACGCUUAUGCGUUGUUGGGUAGGGGAGCGUUCUGUAAGCCUGCGAAGGUGUGCUGUGAGGCAUGCUGGAGGUAUCAGAAGUGCGAAUGCUGACAUAAGUAACGAUAAAGCGGGUGAAAAGCCCGCUCGCCGGAAGACCAAGGGUUCCUGUCCAACGUUAAUCGGGGCAGGGUGAGUCGACCCCUAAGGCGAGGCCGAAAGGCGUAGUCGAUGGGAAACAGGUUAAUAUUCCUGUACUUGGUGUUACUGCGAAGGGGGGACGGAGAAGGCUAUGUUGGCCGGGCGACGGUUGUCCCGGUUUAAGCGUGUAGGCUGGUUUUCCAGGCAAAUCCGGAAAAUCAAGGCUGAGGCGUGAUGACGAGGCACUACGGUGCUGAAGCAACAAAUGCCCUGCUUCCAGGAAAAGCCUCUAAGCAUCAGGUAACAUCAAAUCGUACCCCAAACCGACACAGGUGGUCAGGUAGAGAAUACCAAGGCGCUUGAGAGAACUCGGGUGAAGGAACUAGGCAAAAUGGUGCCGUAACUUCGGGAGAAGGCACGCUGAUAUGUAGGUGAAGCGACUUGCUCGUGGAGCUGAAAUCAGUCGAAGAUACCAGCUGGCUGCAACUGUUUAUUAAAAACACAGCACUGUGCAAACACGAAAGUGGACGUAUACGGUGUGACGCCUGCCCGGUGCCGGAAGGUUAAUUGAUGGGGUUAGCGGUAACGCGAAGCUCUUGAUCGAAGCCCCGGUAAACGGCGGCCGUAACUAUAACGGUCCUAAGGUAGCGAAAUUCCUUGUCGGGUAAGUUCCGACCUGCACGAAUGGCGUAAUGAUGGCCAGGCUGUCUCCACCCGAGACUCAGUGAAAUUGAACUCGCUGUGAAGAUGCAGUGUACCCGCGGCAAGACGGAAAGACCCCGUGAACCUUUACUAUAGCUUGACACUGAACAUUGAGCCUUGAUGUGUAGGAUAGGUGGGAGGCUUUGAAGUGUGGACGCCAGUCUGCAUGGAGCCGACCUUGAAAUACCACCCUUUAAUGUUUGAUGUUCUAACGUUGGCCCCUAAUCGGGGUUGCGGACAGUGUCUGGUGGGUAGUUUGACUGGGGCGGUCUCCUCCUAAAGAGUAACGGAGGAGCACGAAGGUUGGCUAAUCCUGGUCGGACAUCAGGAGGUUAGUGCAAUGGCAUAAGCCAGCUUGACUGCGAGCGUGACGGCGCGAGCAGGUGCGAAAGCAGGUCAUAGUGAUCCGGUGGUUCUGAAUGGAAGGGCCAUCGCUCAACGGAUAAAAGGUACUCCGGGGAUAACAGGCUGAUACCGCCCAAGAGUUCAUAUCGACGGCGGUGUUUGGCACCUCGAUGUCGGCUCAUCACAUCCUGGGGCUGAAGUAGGUCCCAAGGGUAUGGCUGUUCGCCAUUUAAAGUGGUACGCGAGCUGGGUUUAGAACGUCGUGAGACAGUUCGGUCCCUAUCUGCCGUGGGCGCUGGAGAACUGAGGGGGGCUGCUCCUAGUACGAGAGGACCGGAGUGGACGCAUCACUGGUGUUCGGGUUGUCAUGCCAAUGGCACUGCCCGGUAGCUAAAUGCGGAAGAGAUAAGUGCUGAAAGCAUCUAAGCACGAAACUUGCCCCGAGAUGAGUUCUCCCUGACUCCUUGAGAGUCCUGAAGGAACGUUGAAGACGACGACGUUGAUAGGCCGGGUGUGUAAGCGCAGCGAUGCGUUGAGCUAACCGGUACUAAUGAACCGUGAGGCUUAACCUUACAACGCCGAAG
Molecule: ribosomal RNA, 2926 nt
Filed under: Escherichia coli
Lineage: Bacteria; Pseudomonadati; Pseudomonadota; Gammaproteobacteria; Enterobacterales; Enterobacteriaceae
Description: 23S ribosomal RNA
Rfam family: Bacterial large subunit ribosomal RNA
Source: RNAcentral